GGCAGAGUGGACAGUGAGAGAGAGAGAGACAGAGAGAAAGGUCUUCCUUUGCCGUUGGUUCACCAUCCAAUGGCCGCCGCGGCCAGCGCGCUGUGGCCGGCGCACCGCAGCCAGCGCACCGCACUGAUCCGAUGGCAGGAGCCAGGAGCCAGGUGCUUCUCCUGGUCUCCCACUGGGUGCAGGGCCCAAGCACUUGGGCCAUCCUCCACUGCCUUCCCGGGCCACAGCAGAGAGCUGGCCUGGAAGAGGGGCAACCGGGACAGAAUCCGGUGGCCCGACUGGAACUAGAACCCAGUGUGCCGGUGCUGCAAGGUGGAGGAUUAGCCUAGUGAGCCGCGGCGCUGGUCUAAAUAAAAUUUUAAAAAAGAGUUGAAAUGCUGGGCUGCAUGUUAAUUCUAGGUUUACCUCAUUGAAGAGCCAUCAGUCUGGUUUUCACAGUGGUUGCAACAUUUGCAUUCCUAACAAUGUACAAGAAUUCCAAUUUCUUCUUGACAUCCUCACCAACACUUGGGUUCUGUUUUGGCAUUUCUUUUUUCUUUUAAACUUAUUACUGUACUUACUUUAGUGAGUGUGAAGUGGUAUUGUGGCUGAUUAUGGCUCUGAUUUUCACGGAUUUGUAUUUUAAAACAUCUUCUUGACAUUGUAUUUUCUUCAAGGUUCGCAUGACCUAUAGCAAAAGCUAUGUCUUAGGAGAUUUUUGAAGAUCCAGAUAUAUGCAGAGUUACCGUUAGGGGAGUGAUUUUAACUAGAAUAUUGCAUAUCCAUGAAAAUGUAGGGAAGAAGCUUUUCUUUUUCUAGAAGGUAUAACAGAGCUCUGAAACAAUCAUGGAUGAAUUGUUCAGAAGUUACAGACUUGUCCAGUGAUCUGAGUACCACCCUUUGCUCAUAGGGUUAUUAUUGUAGGUGAGGUAACUGAGAUGACCACAAAGUUCAGAUUGGACUAACCUUGUUGCUAUUCCCCUUGUUACACUGCCAAUGCUAGAAAGUGGAAAAGAGCUCAAAAUCAGGAAUCCCCAAAACUAGUUUUUUUCCCCCCCAGUAGAAAGUAAGUAAUUGUCCUUCCCUGGCAGAAAGGAAGCCCUAAUCCUCAUUGAAUUUCUUGUUGGAUGAUGUGUGAUUGAUAUAGUAUCUGUCUUGUCAGUCUUCCCCAAAGAAGAGAGUCAAAAAAUGCUCAAAUGACAAAGUUGAGGUAAGAAGUGGUCUUAGGCAAGUAAGAAUGAAGUAGGAGAGAAGUGAUGGGGGCAGGUGGGGCAGCAAAAGCAAGGUAGAAAAUAACUGUGCUACCAAAUCACAGCAAGGAAGCCCGCUUCACAUGCAGUAGCCCCCAUCCCAUGAAGACUCAGAAGAGGCUGAGGAAAAUCAUGUCUCAGACAUUUUUUCAGAAGUAAGCAAAAGAAUCAUAUCUGCUGGCUCUCUCCCUGCCCUCGUCACCUUAGACACAUUUCACUGCACAGGGAAUUACCCCUCCUACAUAAAUGGGCUUUGUUUUUUGAUGGUUUUAUCUGAUUGCUUUGGUUGCCACUGGAAAACAUUUGUAGUUGGGUAUUUUGUCCAAAUUUAGAAGUGAUACUUCAGAUCCACGCCUGCUCCACUCAGCUGGCUGAGUCCUGGGUACUCAGCCCAUGCAGAGCAAGGUGAGGAAGGCAAAUGAGACUGAGAAACUCUGAAGGGGCACAUCAGGUGUGACUACAGAAUUGGUGGUUACAUUUAUACCUUGCAGGUUGUCUUAGCAAUAUUCGUAAUGGAUUUUCUAGCUAAUUAAACAUGUUUUAUCAUUUACAUGUUGUUGGUUAAUUCAAACAUUCCAAAAUCAAUGGUGACAAAACAUUAAGAUAAAAUUGAGGCCGGCGCCUGCGGCUCACUAGGCUAAUCCUCCGCCUUGCAGUGCCAGCACACCGGGUUCUAGUCCCAGUCGGGCCACCGGAUUCUGUCCCGGUUGCCCCUCUUCCAGGCCAGCUCUCUGCUGUGGCCCGGGAAGGCAGUGGAGGAUGGCCCAAGUGCUUGGGCCCUGCACCCAGUGGGAGACCAGGAUAAGUACUUGGCCCCUGGUAUUGGAUCAGCGCGGUGCGCCGGCCGCGGUGGCCAUUGGAGGGUGAACCAAUGGCAAAGGAAGACCUUUCUCUCUGUCUCUCUCUCUCUCUCACUGUCCACUCUGUCAAAAAAAAAAAAAGAUAAAAUUAAUCUCUCUGUAAUAUGUAUAAUGCAAUACUGCAUUAAAUGUUUUGAUUAUUUUAGGAAGUUUAAAACUGUUUCCCCUAACAAAACAUAAAAUUUAUCUCCUUUCUUGAUAUUCUAAACACUUGUAAUUUAAAUUCACUUAUCCAUUUUAUCAUAUGUGUGAAGGAAAUAAGUUUUUGAAGCUAUGGAUAAACCGAUGACAGAGAAAACCAGAAAAUCUUUAAGUUAAUUUUUUUUCAAAAGCAAAAGCUGGCUAUUUGAAAAGACAUUGCGAAAGACAAACUUUUUACAAAUUUGCCAAAAAAUUAAAAAUAUGAAAAUAAGUAAAAUAUUUGACAAGAUAGAAAAUCAGCAAAGAUAUGAAAAACAUCCAAAAUUUAUAGACAAAUGUAAGGAACUGUUAAAUACCAGUAAGUUGAAAUCCUGAUAUUUUGCAAUAUGCAUACUCUAAAAUGGACAUAGAAGUGGAAAAUCUGUGCAGAAUAAUUACUACUUUAUUCGUCCUACUAAAAAUGUGGUUUUUAUAGAUGAGUUCUACACAACUUUCAAGGGAUAUUGGUGUAUUCAACAGAAUUUAUUUCUCAAAGCAGACAAGAAAACAGGAUUUACAUGUCAGUUUUCAAAAUGAGUGUACCUGUUGAUAACUGAUUAGUCAGAGUUUCAGUCAGAAGCAGCCAGCUCCUUCACACUGGGGGAUGUAGGAGACUUUAACGAAGGGACUCUUCACAGUGGUAUGAGUUGGCAUUAAUAAAAUCAAAAUGGAAGCUUUGUUCCCAGGUUUAUAACAGAAGAACAAACGUCUGUCUUUUUCAAGGAUGGGAAACAUUAGGCCCACGGGCCAUAUCAGUCCCACAAAAAUCAUUUGGUCUGCCCCUGCCGAGGCAACUGCAGGCUGGGCUCAAAAUUCAGUAAAUUAAUAGCAGGCUAAUUUUUAAGUUGAAAUUUUUUUAUGGCUCACGAAUUGUGUUAUAAAUAUACAAAUGGCCCUUGGCACAUAAAAAGCUCCCCACCCUUGAAAGGACACUUUGAGGAAAUUAUUGACAAAAUCCAGAGUGCAGCUGAAACCCCUGGUAGAGGGAUGCAUUGAACCCCACAAUCUAACAGAAAGGGAAUUGGAGGGAGUCAACAUUCAGACCUCACUCAUCUCCCGUCCUUAAAUCCCUGGUCAUAAGGAGAUCACUGAAACUUACCAGAGGCUAGAGGGCAAAGGAGCCCUUUAGUGGAAUCCAUGUAGUCAUCAGCCAAGACACAGAGCAGGAGGAAGAAUAAUAGAGAGUACAUUUGGAAAGGUAAAUGAAACAAUAUCCAGUAUAAUACCAUAACAAGAUGAAAAUACAAUGGCAAGUGAAUGUACAAAUAUAAACCAAUUUCUCCUUUGAACAUAGGUUAAAAUUUCCUAAUUACUAAUUGUCUAACAAAAUGAUUGGCAUGUUUUUAAAACACACCAUGAAUUAAAGAGGAUUUAUUUCAGGAAUGGAAAGACAGUCAAUAUCAGAUAAUGUAAUAACAAUUUAUCACACUAAUAAUUUGUAGGGGAAACCUCAUGUGAUCACCUCAACAUAAUCAGAAAAAUACACAGAAUGGUGAUGUAUAAUGUCCAUUUGAAAUUUUUUAAAAUGUCUUUAAAAACUAAGAAUUAAUCAUACAAACAUUAUCUUUCCUCAGCCCUAUUCCCAAUUACAAGAUAAGCAAAAUAACAAACACCAAUAUUUAAUGAAGAAAUUUUGGAAGCAGCCUUUUAAUCUUAAGAAUUAUGCAGAUGUUCUAAUAUACUUGUAUUGUUUAAAAUAGCACUGAAAAUUCUAUCCAAUUACAUACAAAAAGAAAAGCAAGAAUGUUGAUAAGACGAAAAAAAUAAGCAUUCAGUGCUUGUAAUUAAUUAAUCAUUUACAAAAAAUCCCAUAUAAUCAGCAGAAAAACUAUUAGAACUAUUAAGCCAUUGCAGCAAGAUCUAUAUGCAAAAAUCAAUAGCACUUUUUGUAAUAGCAUUAAACAUUUAGAAAUUGAAGUAACAAAUAGGCUACUAUUUACAAUCACAAUGAAAACUGUGAAGCUACUAGAAAUUACUCUAUUCUUGAAGAAAAGACUAUUAGAAUCUUUCCCCAAUAUCUUGUCUUCUUUCAUCUUAACGUCUAGUUUACCAUCCUCUAAAAUACUUCCCAAACCUAUCCACUUCACUUCCACUACUAACACUGUUGAAGCAACCAUCAUAUCUAAGAUUUCUACUCAACCUAGUAAUUAUGGAAAAAAUUAAUAGAUAAUUGACAGGUUGGGAGAUAAUAUUAGCAGCAUAAAAAUAAACUUUUAACUUUUGAAUAGUUUUAUACUUACCAAAAAUUUGCAGAGUACAGAGUUUCUAUAUGCUCAAUUCUCCCUAUUGUCAAAAUCUUACAUUCAUCUAGUUAAUUUACUAUAACUAAUGAAUCUAUAUGAUAUAAUAUUAUUAACUAAGUUCUAAACUUGACUUAUAUUUCCUUGGUUUUCAUUUACUGCUGUUUUUCUGAUUCAUCCAUGAUAGCCUCUUACAUUUAGUUAUCAUGUCUCUUUAGGAUGCUGGAGUCUGUGAUAGAUUUUUGCUAACUUGAAAAGUUUUGCUGAAUACCAGUUAUUUGUAAAAUGUUCCUCAGUAUAGGCUUAGCUGAUGUGUUCAUAUGAUUAGUUGGGGGUUAUGGUUUUUAGAGGGGAUGAUCACAGAAGCAAAGUGCUAGUCUGAUGACAUCACAGGUACAUUUUAUCCACAUGGCUUAUCACUCUUUAUAUUAAAUCUGAUUACCUACCGAUACAGCAUUUUUCAGAUUCUAACACUGUAAAGUAAUUUCUGCCUCCCUCACCACACACACCUUUCCAAACUAUACUCAAAGUCAAUCAUGGGCUGAUCAGAUUUAAGAGUUGAUUGGUGUUAUACUAAUCUCCUGAAGGGGGCAGUAUUUAAACAAAUUAUUUGAAAGUUUGCACAGAUUUGUCUAUUUUCCCUGUUCAUUUAUGUUUCAAUCAUUUAGGUAUAUUAGUAUAUACUCAUGGAUAACUACACUUUGGGCUGUUGAAAGCUUUUGGUUUGCUCCUGUACUGCUUUGACAUUCUCAAAUUGUUCUAUUUUUAGGCAAUUCCUUGGUUUUGGUACUAUUUGAAACAUCUUUAACUGGCAAGUCUAACAAUUUAGAUUAUAGAGGACCAGGCCCAUUGCUGUGGCACAGCAGGUGAAUGACCUGGCCUGAAGCACCGGCAUCCCAUAUGGGCGCCAGCUGCUUCUCUUCUGAUCCGGCUCUCUGCUAUGGCCUGAGAUAGCAAUAGAAGUGGUCCAAGUCCUUGGGCCCUUGCACCCACGUGGGAGACCCAGAGGAAGCUCCCGGCUCCUGGCUCCUGGCUUGGAUCGGUGCAGCUCUGGCCUGUUGCGGCCAAUUGGGGGAGUGAACCAUGGGAUGGAAGACCUCUCUCUCUCUCUCUGCCUCUCCUCUCUCUGUGUGUAAUUCUGACUUUCAAAUAAAUAAAUUAAUUAAAAUGUAUUUAAUUAAUAUAUUUAAUUAAUACCCACAAUAUAAAAAGUGGGUAAAAGUUUAAAACAGGAAAUAUAAAGAAGGAAAAAAACCCAAUAGCUAAUAAGUAUUAAUAACACUCUCAAUUAAUUCAUAAAAAAGUGUAAAUAAAAACAUAUCAAUAACACUUUAUCCCAUAAAUUGGUAACAUGAUUUGUAUUGGAAGUAUCAAUGGUUCUUUAAAAUGGCAAGAGGGCCGGCGCCAUGGCUCACUUGGUUAAUCCUCCGCCUGUGGCACCGGCGGCAGCCCAUAUGGGUGCUGGGUUCUAGUCCCGGUUGCUCCUCUUCCAGUCCAGCUCUCUGUUGUGGCCCAGGAGGGCACUGGAGGAUGGCCCAAGUGCUUGGGCCCUGCACCCACAUGGGAGACCAGGAAGAAGCACCUGGCUCCUGGCUUUGGAUCAGCGUAGCUCCGGCUGUAGUGGCCAUUUGGGGGGUGAACCAACGGAAGGAAGACCUUUCUUUCUCUCUCUCACUGUCUAACUCUAUCUGUCAAAAUAAAUAAAUAAAUAAAUAAAAUGGCAAGAAAUUGGGUUCUUGUGAUAUUUGAGAGUGGGCAUUAAUGAAAGCAUUUUACAGAGCAAAUUAUUUUAGCAAAAUUAAGUAAAUGCCUAGUCACUCUGAGACAUACAAGGGUACUUCAACAAAUUUGUGGAAAUGAAAUUAAAAGAUAAGUAAAGAUUUUGAAAUCCAUGCAUAAUUUUUCCAUAAUACACAUUUUCCAUAAACUUUUCAAAUUUCAUGAACUCUCAAAUAUAUAGAUACUUAUGAAGAUUUUUAUUUUGGUAGUAAAAUAUGAAUAAAAAAUUGGAGGCAACAUAUAUAUAAAUGAUUCUCUCUAUAUAUACAUUUAACAUAUAUAAAUGGGUGAAUAACAUGUAGUCAGGCAUAUCAUAGUUUAUUCAGAAGAACAAAUCCUAGCUUAACAUGUAACAAGAGAUACAAUGUCAAAUGAGAAAACAGCAGAAGCUAUUUAUAUAAUAGUAAAUUAGAUAUGAAAACCAAAACUAAUUUACAUAUAUGCAUUAAAUAAAUGCAUACAAUGUGAUCUCUAGGGUAUGCACUAAAUACACACCAGCAUUUAAGGAGUAGAUGGAGAAGACAAACAAAUAAUAAUACACUUAAAAUAUGUGAAUUAAAACCUAUUGAUGCUUUGCUGUAAACGGGGAAGUAAGAUCAACUCAGUUCUUGCUGGUCAAAAAAAUCUCACAAUGCUACCUCAUCAAGGUGCAACAAUAAACACCAUGAGCAUCAGCAGCAACUUCGAAAGAUAUAAAUAAAAUUAUUUCUUAUGUGAAGUCAUAUAUCGAUAUGGUAAUAUUUAAGUGAAUGAUAGUCAUAAUCAUUUAAUAAAUGAACAAAUAUUUUUGAGUUUUAAAAGUUUUGAGGGCCGGCGCCGCGGCUCACUAGGCUAAUCCUCCGCCUAGCGGCGCCGGCACACCGGGUUCUAGUCCCGGUCGGGGCGCCGGAUUCUGUCCCGGUUGCCCCUCUUCCAGGCCAGCCCUCUGCUGUGGCCAGGGAGUGCAGUGGAGGAUGGCCCAGGUGCUUGGGCCCUGCACCCCAUGGGAGACCAGGAAAAGCACCUGGCUCCUGGCUCCUGCCAUCGGAUCAGCGCGGUGCGCCGGCCGCAGCGCGCCGGCCGCGGCAGCCAUUGGAGGGUAAACCAACGGCAAAGGAAGACCUUUCUCUCUGUCUCUCUCUCUCACUGUCCACUCUGCCUGUCAAAAAAAAAAAAAAAAAAAAAAAAAAAAAAAAAAAAAAAAAAAGUUUUGUGGUGGGCUCAGUUAAGGAAUAAAAAAUGUCUAACUAAAGCAAAUUUGGGAGGUUUUGAAAUAAUUUUAUUACAUUAGUAUGAAAAUUUAUGUGUAAUACAAGAGCACUUCUAGAACUUGCAUUACCAAAAUAUUAUUUCCAUGGUGUUUCUUGUUGUUGCUGGUUUUUUAAAAUUUAUUUUUUAAAUACCGGAUUUCAAAAUAUCAGAGAAAACCUAUUAUGAAUAAUUCAUCUGGUUUCUAAGACUUGAUUGCCUUUUAAAAUAUAAUUUGGUAUCAUUUAUAUCAUUCUUGUCCAUGAAGAAUGGUUUGGAAAGCAAUUUUUAUAGAUAUUACUGAAAUUUGAAACUACACUCCCUUUUCAUUUUACUUCUCUGUGAAAAUUAUCAGAUUCAACAUUAUUGUAGGUUCAAAGCCAUUAUUAAUUCAUGAUUGCCAUGUAGCUUUUUAAAAGAGUUCUCCUUGAAUGUAUCAGCUCUACUAUUUAUUCUUAUAAGAAAGUCAAGAAACAAACCCAAAAUUUACUCAAUAUUGGUUUUAUUUUAUAACAUAUAUCAUUCUUGCAGUGUAACUUUAAAUUUUAUUUGAACAUAAAAUAUAAUUCUUAAUGUGGUUUAUGACUCUAUGCGUUUUCAUGCAACAGUAUAUACUGGUGCUCUCUCCAUAGUUGCAUAUAAAGAUACUCUUCGUUGCUUUGCACAGCCACAGCUUAAAUCUGUUGUGUGGAUGUGCUGUUGUUUAUUCAACCAGGCCCUAAAGAAUGAACAUUUAGAAAGAAGAAAUGGAUCAAGAUCCCUUUUCCAGGGAUCUUCCAGCUUCCAGGCGUUAGAACUCCCUUUUCUAUUGUGUUGUGAAGUUGAAAAAUGUGGCCUAGAGGUAUUCUAGUUUGUGGCCCUUUUUGUGUAUUUAUAUUUACUGCCUCUGUUCUAAUGUUGGAUUCUGUUCCAAAAUGAACCUCCUUUGAUCCAGUGGAUUUAGUUAGUAACCCAGCCCCUUCAGAGCUCACUGCAGGCCUCUUGCACUUACUGUAGCCAGGAGAACCUAGAACACCUUGCUGGUUGCAGCUAUUCUCCUGUGGCUUCUUGCUCUUUCCAAGGAGUACCUGUUAGGCUUCAGGGUUUUUCACAUUCUCAAGUCUGUGAGAAGUCCCAUUACCACCCUCUAACACAAAUGUUGAUUCUACACAGGUUAUGCAGUAGUAGAGCUUGUCCCCAGUUUUAUUUUAUUUUUUAAAUAUUUAUUUAUUUGAAUGACAGAGUGGCAGAGAGAGGGAGAGAGAAAGAAAUGUAUCUGCUGGUUCAUUCCCCAGAUUCCCUCCAUAGCCAGGUCAAUCCAGGACUUAGGAGCUCCAUCCUGAUCUCCCCCAUAGGUGAUAGGGAUUCAAGUACUUGAGCCAUUAUCUGCUACUUCCCAGACACAUUAGCAAAUAGGCAUAUGGGAAGUGGAGCAGCUGAGACUUGAACUGGCACUCUAAUAUGGGAUGUGAGGUUAUCAAGUGGCAGCUUAAUUCUCUGUAUCACAAUUUCUGUCCCCAUAACCAGCUGUAGCCCAUUAAAUGUUGAUAGAUUCAGAAAAAAAAAAAAAAUUUUAAAUUAAAUUUGGAUUUUAGUGAACAAUCUAUAAUUUGAAAUGGAAGAAGGGAGAGAAGGGAGAAAGGGGGAUAGGAAGGGAGGGAAAGGGAGAGGGAGAAGGGGAGAGAGUGGGAGGGGGGCUGACUGCUGGUUCACUUGCCAAAUACCUGCAGAUCUGGGCCUUCCUGAAGAGAAGUCAGGAUCUCAGUUCAGGUCUCCUACAUGGGUGAUGGGGACUCAACUACGUGAGCCAUCAUCUGCUGCCUCCCAGGGUGUUCUUUAGUCAAAAGUUGGAAUCAGGAGAGGAGCCAGGAUUUGAACUCAGGUACUCUGAUAGGGGAUUGCAGGUAUCCCAAGUGGCCAUCUUAACGACUAUACCAAACACCUGCCCCUAUAGUAUAUAAUGUAAGCAUGCACCAUGUAAUAUUUGCUAUACACCUAAACUACAUAGUUACCUAAGUUUAACUAAAUGUCUUACAUUUUAUCUAACAAAUAUUUUAUUUAUUUUUGUAUAUAAAUGGUAUUUGUGGUGGUCUUAUUUUAUGAUUUUAGUCAUAUUUAUUUUUAUGGAUAGAUUUGUUUUAUACAUAGAUUAUUCAUAGCUGUGAUUAGGAAGAUUCAAAAGCAAUACUACUACUAUUGCUGCCAAUACGGAAUUUCUGCUUUUAUUUCAAUUCUAACUACUAAAUGAUUGUUUUAAAUUAUUCUUUUUUAUUUGAAUAUAUAAUAACAUUAGGUGUAAUUUCUAGAAAGAUACUUCUCGAGGCUGGCGCCGUGGCUCACUUGGUUAAUCCUCUGCCUGCGGCGCCAGCAUCCCAUUUGGGUACCAGGUUCUAGUCCCGGUUGCUCCUCUUCCAGUCCAGCUCUCUGCUGUGGCCCGGGAAGGCAGUGGAGGAUGGCCCAAGUGCUUGGGACCUGGACCUGCAUGGGAGGCCAGGAGGAAGCACCUGGCUCCUGGCUUUGGAUCGGCAGAGCUCCGGCCAUAGCGGCCAUUUGGGGGGUGAACCAACGGAAGGAAGAUGUUUCUCUCUCUCUCACUGUCUAACUCUAUCUGUCAAAUAAAUAAAAAAAGAUACUUCUCUAUUUUACCUUUCUAUAAAUGUCCGGAGAUAUUUGAAAGCUACACAUUCAUCUAGAUAUGUUUCAUUUUUGUAUGGUGGAGAUACUGAUUUGGUUGGUGGUAAAGUAUAUUGAGAGGUCAUUGUUUCUACAGUAAAAUACAGUUGUUUGAAGUGAUAGUCCAGUUCAAUAAAUCAUAUAAUGCUUUAAAGGAAGACACAAUUAUGACCUUCAAAAGAAAGGAUGAUCUUAACAUUUAAAAGAGAACAAAACAUCUUUUUUAGUGGGAAAGAACAAGAUUCCACCUAUAUUAAGCAGCACUAAUUAUCUGUUCAUAAAUGUUACAUAAAUUAUCUGUUCAUAAAUGCAAAAAACAAAGAGAAGAAGAUAAAAACAUUUUCAACUUGUAAGAGGAGAAAGGGCUUAAGAGAGCUGACCUAAGAAGCAACAUAUUUGUUGUUUAACAGAUAUGAAAAUGGGGAGGGUUUUUAAAGGUCAUGCCACAUUCUUGGGAUAUCAAUGGACAAAUACAAACAUACAUGUACACACACACACACACACAAGAAUAUGCAGACCAACAAAAAUAAAGUGUCAAAAUUUCCUUGGUGAAAGGAAAUUUUUAAGCUAACAUCUAGACUAAGAAAUAAAUAAGUUAAAUUAAAAUCAUUUUCCAUGUUUAGGUAUUAAGAAUGAUCUCAAUUCAGAAAAAUUAAUACUACAAAAAGACAUUUCUAUCUCACAGAUGUAGGCAAUAUAAACACAUACCACAAAAUUACAUACAAAAAGGGCAUCAAAGCAAGAAGAGAAAAUGUACUGAGAAGACUUUAUAUUAAGUGGUAUCUGUAGUAGAGAGAAAUUAUUUAUUUAGAGUGGAACACAGUAUGAUUCUAAUAUCUUUGAAAUGUUGAAGGAAGAGAACGGGGGUAGAAAUCAGAACUGUAAUAUAAAAUUUUAAUGAAGAAGAACGAAUCUAAAAUAAUUAACAUGUAUCUCUACUAACCCUCAGCUCAGAAUGUGCUCCACAACCAUAGGAGGUAACACAAUAGAUGAAAAAAGAAGGCCCUUGUAGGUAACUGUGACCCUUACACUUGUUCUUUCUAAUAGUUUAUACACAAGGAAACAAGCCACGUAAAUAACAUGUACUAUCCAUAGCAUUUUUAAUGUAAUAUAAACACAGUUACAAUUGAACAACUGUAACUACAAGAGAGAAUGCUAGAAAAAUAUUUUCUCAAAUAGUUAAUAGUACUUCUUGUUCAGUUUUGCUGUUGGUAUUUUCAAGUCUUUUGAAAGUUCUCAUCUUAUUUUCAGAUUAAGAUAAAAAUAAAUUAUUUCAAGCAUUUCUUUUAGUAUGGGGUGGGUUUGUGCACACACAAGUACAUAUUUAGAGAUUCUCUUUUUUAAAAAUUUUUUUUAAUUUAUUUUUUCACAGGCAGAGUUAGACAGUGAGAGAGAGAGAGAGAGAGAGAGACGGAAAGAAAGGUCUUCCUUUUGUUGGUUCACCCCCCAAAAUGGCCGCUACGGCUGGUGCGCUGCGUCCAUCCGAAGCCAGGAGCCAGGUGCUUCCUCCUGGUCUCCCAUGCAGGUGCAGGGCCCAAGCACCUGGGCCAUCCUCCACUGCCUUUCCGGGCCACAGCAGAGAGCUAGACUGGAAGAGGAACUAUCGGGACAGAACCAGUGCCCCAACUGGGACUAGAACCCGGGGUGCCGGCACCGCAGGUGGAAGAUUAGCCCAGUGAGCCUUGGCACUGGCCAUAUUUAGAGAUUCUUAUUGAAGUCUUGCUCUUAUUAUGUUGCAUUGCCAAAGAUGCUAUCCAAAGAGAAAAGACAUCAAAUGAUCAAAAAAAAAAAAAAAUCAUGCCCCACCAAGAGUAGAAAAUGGACGUGUAGUGACAUAAAAAACCAUUUUGGUUUUUUAGAAAUCUUUUAUUUGAUAAGUACAAAUUUCAUAGGUACAGCUUUAGAAAUAUAGUGGUUCUUCCCUCCAUACCAGCUUUCCCACUCCCCGCUCCUACUCCCACCUCCCAUCCUAUUCUUCAUUAAGAUUCAUUUUUAAUUAUCUUUAUAUAGAAGACCAACUCUAUACUAAGUAAUGACUUCAACAUUUUGCACCUAUACAGACACACAAAGUAUAAAGUACUGUUUGAAGACAAGUUUUACCAUUCAUUCUCAUAAUAGUACAACUCAUUGAGGACAGCAGACCUACAUGGGGAGUAAGUGCACAGUGACUCCUGUUGCUGAUUCAACAAUUGACAUUCUUAUUUAUGACAUCAGUGAUCACCCGAGUCUCUUGUCAUGAGCUGCCAAGUCUUCUGAGUCCACAAACUGUCAGUAUUUAGACAGGGCCAUAAGCAAAGUGGAAGUUCUCUCCUCCCUUCAGAGAAAAAUAUUCUUUUUUUUUUUUAAGGUUUAUUUAUUUAUUUGAAAGUCAGAGUUACACAGAGAGAGGAGAGGAAGUGAGACAGAGAGAGAGAGGUAUUCCAUCCCAUGGUUUACUCCCCAAUUGGUCGCAAUGGCUGGAGCUGUGCCGAUCCGAACCCAGGAGCCAGGAGCUUCUUCCAGUUCUCCCACAAGGGUGCAGGGGCCCAAGGACUGGGGCCAUCUUCUACUGCUUUCCCAGGCCAUAGCAGAGAGCUGGAUUGGAAGUGGAGCAGCCGGGACAAGAACCUAGCACCCCUUUGGGAUGCCAGCACUUCAGGCCAGGGUGUUAACCCGCUGCACCACAGUGCCUGCCCUGAGAAAAGUACAUUCUUCCUUGAUUGCCCCUACCUUCCACUGAGGCAAGAGUACAACAAUUUUCAGCGAGUUCCAAGCCUUUUUAACAAUCACUGAAGCUGAAGGUGGUCUUUUGGAACUUGAACUUGCAACUGGUAUCAGAGGUGCACUCCUCGGCUUUCAGGCUGCUCCUUCUGCCCAGAAUGCUGAUCCACAUGAAAUAAAGAAUGAGCUUCUUGGCUCUCUGGUUUUGGUUCGAGUUUAAGUAAGUGAUGGCAAAUAAAAUAAAAUAGAGUAAAAUAGGAGGAUAAUAAGAUUGAAGCAUUUAUUUUUCCUUGGCUUUUCUUGCCGGGUUUCUUUGGAUUAAUUCCCCCUGCCAAAGGCUAUAGCCCCUUCAAAGCGCUCUCUCCAUAUGAUUUUUAACUCUGAGGUUUUAGUAAUUGCUUCCUCCCCUUGACUUUCAGACUGAAGCAUGACAAUAACCUUCUGCUCUGGACAGUCCAAGUGUUUAUUCUGUUGCAUUUCUUAAGGUUAAUACACAUCAAGUCUUGUCAAUUAUGCAGCAGGAGCAUAGGCCAUCAUUUCCCUGCCUAGAUCUGUCUGAUGCAAUGUCUAUAGUGUUCCUUGAGAAACAGGAUUAAAUGAGAAAAUAUAGGUUGGAAGGAUUGAACAGAAAAUAAUUAAUUCAUUAUGAACUUUACUAUAUUUUCCUUUCAUUGAUAAAAGAUGCAAUUUACAGUUUGUCUUUCUCAUAUUAUUUUCCCUAAAGUGUAUAAAGUACAUUUGAUAUGUUAUGUCAUUAAUCCUGGCCAAGUUAUGUCAUACAUAAGACAAAUUAUCAGCUACAGGCAGGAUAUAAACUCAGGAAAGAUAUGACACAGGAAGCAGAAACCAGCAUCUUAUUUUAAGGGGAUCAAGAUUUUCACUAAGAUACAGGAUUUUAAAUAUCAAUACAAGAAAAAUAACAACAAUCAAGGAAAAGAACUUAAACCAGGGAGUAGACUCAAGGUUCAAGAUAAAUAGGACAGCCAGGGGAAUGCUGCUCAAACCUGAGGUUCUGCAUUGUUUUUAAGGUGAGUUUGGUGCUUGUCACAUAAAAGCAAUGCAUAAAUAUUUAUUGAAAGAAUUGGAAAUGACAUAAUGAAUAAAUGUCAGACUAGAAGGCAUUUACUGCUCUUCUAUUAAGGAUCCUUAUCUAGCUGUCAGAUCUUGAUGUGUGCUGUGUGAGGAUUUAAGAUACUGAAAGAAAAGAAUUCACAGUUAUUUACCAUGUAAUAUGUGCUGGCCUCAAUGUGGGCAUAUUUAAUUCUCAAUAGGAUUCAAGUAUGUGAAUAUUAAAUUUUAUUUUUUACAUGAUGAUAUGGAAGCUCUCAUUGAGCACAUUAAAUAGUACAAAGUGGAAAAUCCAGAAGGUGGACUGACUUUUCAAAAUGCCAGACGUAUCUUAGGUUUAUAUCAUGUGCAUGGCUAAAAGGGAAAUCUAGUUAUUCUGACACCUAGACUAUAGUACACAUUUCCAGGUGUGACUGAUCUCAUGUGGGCAGGAAAUGUAGUGCAAUAAGAAAAAUAGUACUUGAUUUCAUCUUAUUCCUUUACUUUUAAAUGCUUUUCCCUUUAGGGGUCAAAUUUCAACAGUAAUACUUUACUUGAAGGAAUUUCAUAUAGAAAACUAAACAAACAGGAGAUCAUUUGACUCCAAACCUUACAGAAGGAUAGUUGGGAUAAAUUUACUGGGCUCUUUGGCAAUAUUCUUUUUAGUCUUAAUCUGUUCAAGGGAGAGUAGUUCUUCCUUGUCAAGGGUAAACUCAUCAAUUGUCUUGAUCCCAUCUUUCUUUAGGGUUUGUUCCACUAAAGAGCCUUUCCAGGCUGCUUCCUCUCACCAUGCAAGAAGCCUUAUGUUUCCUGUGCUCAAUGUCUUUAUUUUAACCCCAAUAGUGUAUUUUCAAUUAUUCUUGUCACAACCAAACUUUGUGAAAGGCUGCUGCCUCUACUCUUUCUCUUCACCAUGUCUCUAUCCCUUACAAAUAUAUAUUUACCCAUCAAAGUAAUAGAAACAUGGAUUCAAAUCCAAAUCCAAAGUUUAAUCAUUAUUAGCUGCAUUAUCUUAAUAUGCAUUAAUUUCUAUUAUGUAUUUUUAUUAUGUAUUUUCUAAAACAGGAAUAAUGUUAUCAACAUCCCCAUAGAACUACUUUCAAACAGUUGUAAAUUUAUGUAUUUUUUUAUCUAAAUUAGUAAAUUUAGAUAAAAUUGGUAAACUGGUAAAUCUGAAUUGGUAAAUCUGAAUUGGUAAAUCUGCUAUCAUUAAUUUAUUAUUAAUGCAUAUCAGAUAUACUUUUGAGAUACUGUCAAUUAUUUUAUACUUCAACUGCCAUACAUAUAUGUAUGUGUGUAUAUAUGUAUGUACGUAUGUAUGUAUAAAUAUUUAACUGAGCAAUUUGCUUUCCCAAAUUGAUUGGUGACUUCUUUUUUCUUCUGGAUUAUUUUUUGCUUUGUCUUGGAUGCUUAUAAGAUACAUAAACCCAAUUCGGAUCAGACAUAAUAAAGUAGGAAACUAUGAAUUGUGUCAUUAUAUGUUCUACCACCUUCACAAGUUCCAAUUAUAUAUAUUUUCCCUGUACUGAUUAUUAUCUAUUUAUAAUUUUCUGUAAGCCAUCUUUCUGAAAUAAGUAUGAACAUGAACUGGUAGAAGAAUAGUUGAACAGAUGGAUGGAUAAAUAAAUAGGUGAAUGGAGAAACAGAACAGUGAGACAGCAUUGUUAAUAGCUAAACUUGGUUUUGUUUGUACAAUUUCAAUAUCAAACACUAUUCUCUGUCAUCCAAGUGUGGGGACCCAUGAGCCGGCCAUGGGUCCACAUGCUAAGGCUUAGCUUGCUGACCAUUGGCAAUAGUUACUGCUGUGUGGAUGUUUAUGGUUUCUGUUGAGCUGCGAUAUCGGACCGUUUCAUAACCCCAAGCUAGAGUCAAAACAACUAUGGCCUUGGGGCUUCCCGUACUUCUUUUCCUACUGACCAAGGCUGAGAAAACACCAGGUGGAAGCUUGUUGUUAGCACCCGAGUCGCCUGCUACAUGACCAGGAGCUUGAUUGGAUGAAGGCGCGUGAUCACCUUUAUGGUUGGACAAGGAGCGCAUGGACUGUGCGUGAUCAGGCACCCGAUUGGAGCGCCGCCGCAUGGACUGUAGCAUGGACUAAGCUUGCAUUACAUACUUCUGCAAUGAUAUACUAUAUAAGCUGUUUGUGAUAUAGUACGGGAGCUUCCCCUUUCUUUUGGAGCUCCCCUUGCUCAAGGGUUUCUCUUUCCAUCCUGUUUAAAUAAAAGUCUACUGAAGACCGAUCAGCUGGGAGCAGUGUCGUUCCUUUGCGGGCAAGGGAGCCACACCAAGUACACCAAAGUUAUGUCUAUGCAUUGAACCUACCUGUUACACCCAUGACUCAUCUAUUUUAGGAUCUUCUAAUCCUUCAACCAGAGGUUCUUUAUCUCUACUGGCCCUCACAUCUUUUUGUGUAUUCCUCUAUCAUGACAUUCACCAUACUCCUCUCUGUAA
Long non-coding RNA from Oryctolagus cuniculus (rabbit), 16365 nucleotides. RefSeq lists it as uncharacterized. Lineage: Eukaryota; Metazoa; Chordata; Mammalia; Lagomorpha; Leporidae. The record is from RefSeq and is a predicted model, not a curated record.